Long non-coding RNA from Ruditapes philippinarum (Manila clam), 3765 nucleotides. RefSeq lists it as uncharacterized. The record is from RefSeq and is a predicted model, not a curated record. The transcript has 4 exons. Lineage: Eukaryota; Metazoa; Mollusca; Bivalvia; Venerida; Veneridae.
AGGAAUAGUUGUAAUUAACUUUCUUAACCCAGAAGUUUUAGUGGUUUUUUUUUAUAAAUUAAGUAACCUGCCUUUAUUGUUUGUUACACCUUUAAAAACAUUAACGUAUAUCAAAAGAUAAUAAAUAAUUAUUUAAAGAAUUAAAGUGUCAUAAUUGUUUAAUUGUAAUUAAAUUAAUUGUUGUUAAUCAAGCAAUAUACUAUAGUGGGGCAGAAACGUCUCGCGGAAAAGGGCCGAAACGUCCAGGGGCCGAUUUUUCGACUGGGGCCAAUUUUGUUUGCGGCCGAAAUGUCCUGUUUGCUUGUCCGGUAUAUACCGGAAUACGGUAUUUAAUGUGGUCUUCCGUCAAAAUUCAAUCGCAACUUUUCGGCCCUUUCCGUCAGUCUUCGGAUAAGGAACUAAACAUCUGAAGGUUAUUAUAUAGAUAAUAGCCGAUGAUAAUCCGAUUGGUAAAAGAUUAUCCGAAGUUUGACGGAAAGGGCCGAGAAAAUACGCCUGAGCCAAUCAAAUCACUGUGAGGACGUAGGCGCUCGUGUAAGAUGAUAUGCUGGCGCGCAACGUGACGAGAGAGUUAUGAACAGAUGAAAGUUGUAAUUUUAUAAAGGCUAUACCUUAGAAAAAUGGCAGUAGAACUGGAAGACACACUUUGGUUGGAGAGAGACAAUCAUAGAGUGGUUAUUUUUGCUCUUUGUCAUCAACCACAAGUGAACGUCGCGUGGCCAUGACUUACACUAUAUCCAAUUCCCCCUACUACAGUUGGGCCGGUUUUAACCCACUUCAGGAAAUGGCGUCAAGUGGUUUCAAAUGGGUAACAACAUCAUAAGGAUCUUAAUUGUAAACUUCUCCAAAAACACUCAACAUAUCAUCUAGUCAAGGAUUUGUGAGUUUGAAUAUUGUACCAUUAAUUACCAAUACAAUCUGACAUUUAAGACACUCGACACUUAAUUGUAUAUCUACGUACUGUAUUUCCUGUUUUAUUAUUAAAUAUUAGUUAAAAAUGUAUAUAAUCCGAGCAUAUUAUACGAUGGACAGUAGUCAAUUGCAACAAUUAUUAUACUGUCAUAGAAAACCUUUUAUAGAAAAAAAGAUGCAAAAAUUUAAAACUUAUUAUUUUAUACUGAAGCGUUUGCCUAUGUACCAGGGCUACAGAUAACAUUUUGUGUAUAUUGGGUAAUUACCCCUUGUUUUGUGAUCUAUUGGGUUUUUAGCUCACCUGUCACAAAGUGACAGGGUGAGCUUUUGUGAUCGCUUUUCGUCCGGCGUCCGUCCGGCGUCUGUCCGUAAACUUUAACUUUAAAUGACAUCUCCUCAUAAACCACUAAGCCAAUUUUAUCCAAACUUCACAGGAAUGUUCCUUUGGUGGUCACCUUUAAAGAUUGUUCAAAGAAUUUUGUUCCAUGCAAAACUCUGGUUGCCAUGGCAACCGAAAGAAAAAACUUUAAAUAUCUUCUUUUAAAAAAACAUAAGAGCUAGAGCUUAGAUAUUUGGCAUGAAACAUCUUCUAGUGAGUGUCUACCAAGUUUGUUCAAAUAAAAGCCCUGGGGUCAAAAUUGGCCCCGCCCCGGGGGGUCAUUGAUUUUCCCUAUAUGCAUAUAGUAAAAACUUAAAAUAUCUUCUUUUAAAGAACCCAAAGAGCUAGAGCUAAGAUAUUUAGCAUGAAACAUGUUCUAAUGGGUGUCUACCAAGUUUGUUCAAAUAAAAGCCCUGGGCUCAAAAUUGACCCCGCCCUGGGGGGUCAUUGAUUUUCCCUAUAUGCAUAUAGUAAAACUUAAAAAAUCUUCUUUUAAAGAACUCAAAGAGCUAUGGCUAAGAUAUUGAGCAUCAAACAUGUUCUAAUAAGUGUCUACCAAGUUUGUUCAAAUAAAAGCCCUGGGGUCAAAAUUGGUCCCGCCCCAGGGGGUCAUUGAUUUUCCCUAUAUGCAUAUAGUAAAAACUUAAAAAAUCCACUUUUGAAGAACCAAAAGAGUUAGAGCUAAGAUAUUUAGCAUGAAACAUGUUCUAAUAAGUGUCUACCAAGUUUGUUCAAAUAAAAGCCCUGGGGUCAAAAUUGGCCCCGCCCCGGGGGGUCAUUGAUUUUCCCUAUAUGCAUUUAGUAAAAACUUAAAAAAUCUUCUUUUAAAGAACUCAAAGAGCUAUGGCUAAGAUAUUUAGCAUCAAACAUGUUCUAAUAGGUGUCUACCAAGUUUGUUCAAAUAAAAGCCCUGGGGUCAAAAUUGGCACCGCCCCGGGGGGUCAUUGAUUUUCCUUAUAUGUGUAUAGCAAAAACUUAAAAAAUCUUCUUUGAAAAAACACAAAUAGCUAGAGUUAAGAUAUUAAGCAUGAAACAUCUUUUAGUGAGUGUCUACAAAGUUUGUUCAAAUAAAAGACCUGGGGUCAAAAUUGGCCCUGCCCCGGGGGUCAUUGAUUUUCUUUAUAUGUGUAUAGCAAAAACGUAAAAUCUUCUUUGAAAAAACCCAAAUAGCUAGAGUUUAGAUAUUUAGCAUGAAACAUCUUCUAGUAAGUGUCUACAAAGUUUGUUCAAAUAAAAGCCCUGGCCCGGCCCCAGGGGUGUCAUUGUUUUUAACUAUAUGUGUAUAGUAAAAACUUAAAAAAAAUCUUCUUUUAAAAAGCCCAAUGAGCUAGAGCUUAGAUGUUUAGCAUCAAAAACAUCUUCUUAUGGGUGUCUACCAAGUUUGUGCAAAUAAAAGCCCUUGGGUUAAAUUGGCCCUGCAACGUUGGGGGGCUGGGGGUUGGGGGGGCCUAUAUACAGGUGAGCGACCUCAGGGCCAUCAUGGCCCUCUUGUUUCUAUUUUCUUAGAGUUAUUUCACCCUACCUUCUCUAACAAAUACGGGUUAUAAAGCACGAGUUCAUGUAUUUUACCCAAAAUUUCUGACCUUCAUUGUAGACUCUGACUGUUGUAGGUUUUGUAAGGUAAUGAAAAAGCUACUUACGUAACUAUGCUUUAUUGUUUAUUGGCUUAGGAGAUUUUCAAGCUGCCUGAUAUAAUAUAAGUUAUUAUUUUUAUUGGGUUUUUAACCAGGUUUUCCGAAGGAAAAAACUGGUUAUUAGAUUGAGGUAUGUCGGCGAGCGGGCGGGCGUAAACAAUUUCUUCUGUGCGCAACUCCUUCUACAUUUCUCAACAGAUUUUGACCAAACUUUCACAGAAGCUUUAUCAAGUGCCCUGGGGCAUAUUGUAUGGGUUUUGGGAUUGGAUAAUAUUUGACCUUAUUAUGGCCCUUUGUUUUUUUUUUCCUUAUACAGAAUUAGCAAUAUAUAGUGAACAAAUUCUUCUGUGCUGAACUCGUCCUACAUUUCUUAACGGAUUUUGUUCAAACUUUCACAGAAGCUUUGUCAUCAAGUGCCCUGGCGCAUAUUGUCGGGGUUUUGUGAUUGGAUAAUUUUUUACCUAAUUAUGGCCCUUUGGUUUUUUUCCUUAUACAGAAUAUAUAGUGAACACUUCUUCUGUGCAAUUCCUCCUACAUUAUUCAUGUUUUACAUUGCACAUAGUUACAUUGUUUGUUGCUUGUAUUUGUAUUUCAAAUACAACAUAUUUAUCUACAAUGGUGAUAAUUGAAAACCUGGUUUCGUGGCAUUGCCAUGUUUCUUGUUUGACAUUUUAAGUGGGUAAUAACGCAAAUACGCAUGUUAUCUGCAGCCCUGAAUUGUACUAUAAUUGCUCGAGUAGUCAUAAGUACUCCCCCACUUACUUUUUCCUUCAAACGGGAAGUGAUCUAAGGGUAUAUACCGCCAGAACGGAAAUAUAUGAUAUCGAGUAUCGUAUACAA